CAGUAGCCACGGGAAUACGGAGGGUGCAAGCGUUAAUCGGAAUUACUGGGCGUAAAGCGCACGCAGGCGGUCUGACAAGUCAGAUGUGAAAUCCCCGGGCUUAACCUGGGAACUGCAUUUGAAACUGUCAGGCUGGAGUCUUGUAGAGGGGGGUAGAAUUCCAGGUGUAGCGGUGAAAUGCGUUGAGAUCGGAAAGAACACCAACGGCGAAAGCACUCUGCUGGGCCGACACUGACACUGAGAGACGAAAGCUAGGGGAGCAAAUGGGAUUAGAUACCCCCGUAGUCCCUGUCUCUUAUAC
Molecule: ribosomal RNA, 301 nt
Filed under: uncultured bacterium
Lineage: Bacteria
Description: partial 16S ribosomal RNA
Rfam family: Bacterial small subunit ribosomal RNA
Source: RNAcentral